CCUCAUGGUGAAGCUGAGGGUUGACAGUUGCUCCUCGCCCCUGGUCCCAGGAGACAAGCUUUGUCGCAGUGUCAUCAGUGGAUCACCAGGCACAAGAUGACACCUGGAUGCUGCCCCUGGAUGGACCUGGACAGAGGCCUG
This 141-nucleotide long non-coding RNA is filed under the name Ictidomys tridecemlineatus (thirteen-lined ground squirrel). RNAcentral describes it as "lncRNA (ENSSTOG00000022649.2)". The record is from RNAcentral. Lineage: Eukaryota; Metazoa; Chordata; Mammalia; Rodentia; Sciuridae.